Molecule: ribosomal RNA, 659 nt
Filed under: Salmonella enterica
Lineage: Bacteria; Pseudomonadati; Pseudomonadota; Gammaproteobacteria; Enterobacterales; Enterobacteriaceae
Also listed under: 3 other names
Description: partial 23S ribosomal RNA
Rfam family: Bacterial large subunit ribosomal RNA
Source: RNAcentral
AGACCCGAAACCCGGUGAUCUAGCCAUGGGCAGGUUGAAGGUUGGGUAACACUAACUGGAGGACCGAACCGACUAAUGUUGAAAAAUUAGCGGAUGACCUGUGGCUGGGGGUGAAAGGCCAAUCAAACCGGGAGAUAGCUGGUUCUCCCCGAAAGCUAUUUAGGUAGCGCCUCGUGAAUUCAUCUCCGGGGGUAGAGCACUGUUUCGGCUAGGGGGCCAUCCCGGCUUACCAACCCGAUGCAAACUGCGAAUACCGGAGAAUGUUAUCACGGGAGACACACGGCGGGUGCUAACGUCCGUCGUGAAGAGGGAAACAACCCAGACCGCCAGCUAAGGUCCCAAAGUCAUGGUUAAGUGGGAAACGAUGUGGGAAGGCCCAGACAGCCAGGAUGUUGGCUUAGAAGCAGCCAUCAUUUAAAGAAAGCGUAAUAGCUCACUGGUCGAGUCGGCCUGCGCGGAAGAUGUAACGGGGCUAAACCAUGCACCGAAGCUGCGGCAGCGAACGUAUCACCCAAGACAACUUUACGGAGUUGACGAUUGACGGAGCGAAGCGACGUCAAAGCGUUCAUUAAAGUCGAGUUGGCUUAGGGAUACGUUCGUUGGGUAGGGGAGCGUUCUGUAAGCCUGUGAAGGUGUGUCGUGAGGCAUGCUGGAGGUAU